Molecule: ribosomal RNA, 497 nt
Filed under: uncultured bacterium
Lineage: Bacteria
Description: partial 16S ribosomal RNA
Rfam family: Bacterial small subunit ribosomal RNA
Source: RNAcentral
GAUGAACGCUGGCGGCGUGCCUAAUACAUGCAAGUCGAGCGAACAGAUGAGGAGCUUGCUCCUCUGACGUUAGCGGCGGACGGGUGAGUAACACGUGGAUAACCUACCUAUAAGACUGGGAUAACUUCGUGAAACCGGAGCUAAUACCGGAUAAUAUAUUGAACCGCAUGGUUCAAUAGUGAAAGACGGUUUUGCUGUCACUUAUAGAUGGAUCCGCGCCGCAUUAGCUAGUUGGUAAGGUAACGGCUUACCAAGGCAACGAUGCGUAGCCGACCUGAGAGGGUGAACGGCCACACUGGAACGGAGAAACGGACAAGAGUCCUACGGGAGGCAGCAGUAGGGAAGCUUCCGCAAUGGGCGAAAGCCUGACGGAGCAACGCCGAGUGAGAGAUGAAGGUCUUAGGAUCGUAAAACUCUGUUAUUAGGGAAGAAAAAAUGUGUAAGUAACUAUGCACGUAUUGACGGUACCUAAUCAGAAAGCCACGGCUAACUACGUG